Molecule: ribosomal RNA, 486 nt
Filed under: Triticum aestivum (bread wheat)
Lineage: Eukaryota; Viridiplantae; Streptophyta; Magnoliopsida; Poales; Poaceae
Description: partial small subunit ribosomal RNA
Source: RNAcentral
AUGGCUUCCAGAUCGGCUUUCUCAAAACUCCCAUUCGCAAGAGAAACUCGAUCCCCGCCUAGCGUCUCCCCCGCCGUUGACCACUCCGGCCGUGGCGGCCACCCUCCGCGCCAUGGUCUGCUCCGGACGCGGCGGCCACCCUCCGCGCCAUGGUCCACUCCGGACGCGGCGACCACUCCUUCCGUCGUAGACCGCUCUGGGCGCGGCGGCCUCUUCUUCAAGGAAGUUGUUCUGUCCUUUGCCGGUGCGAUCAUGGCGCUCUCCGAUCUGAAUUUUGCCACUGGAAGGGCCUUUGAAUUAUACAUCAAGAAUCAGUGUGGUACUCCAAUUAAUCCAUCUGCUACGUCUCUAUCGGACAGGUUCUUCCUUGUGGUAAAGUUUUCUCGAUCUAGGCUCACUCUGAAUAGAGACUCUGUGGGCCUCAUCCUUCAAGCUUUUUUUGGUGGUUCUGCUUCUGACUUCAAAGUCUCACAUAUUGAAGGCUAG